RNAcentral lists this unclassified non-coding RNA (145 nucleotides) under uncultured Clathrosphaerina. Its description in RNAcentral is "sequence contains ITS2". Lineage: Eukaryota; Fungi; Ascomycota; Leotiomycetes; Helotiales; Hyaloscyphaceae. The record is from RNAcentral.
UGACCAACUCACCGUAAUGGUGGUCUUGGGGAUGGCUAACUAGCCUCCCUUAAAAUCAGUGGCGGUGCUGUCAAGCUCUAAGCGUAGUAAUUUUCUCGCUAUAGCGUCUUGAUGGUGACUUGCCAUAACCCCAACUCUUUUAAGG